RNAcentral lists this ribosomal RNA (761 nucleotides) under Listeria monocytogenes. RNAcentral's name for it is "partial 23S ribosomal RNA". It matches the Rfam family "Bacterial large subunit ribosomal RNA", at positions 1 to 758 of the family's 2925-position model. The record is from RNAcentral. Lineage: Bacteria; Bacillati; Bacillota; Bacilli; Caryophanales; Listeriaceae.
GGUUAAGUUAGAAAGGGCGCACGGUGGAUGCCUUGGCACUAGGAGCCGAAGAAGGACGGGACUAACACCGAUAUGCUUUGGGGAGCUGUACGUAAGCGUUGAUCCAGAGAUUUCCGAAUGGGGGAACCCACUAUCUUUAGUCGGAUAGUAUCCUUACGUGAAUACAUAGCGUGAGGAAGGCAGACCCAGGGAACUGAAACAUCUAAGUACCUGGAGGAAGAGAAAGAAAAAUCGAUUUCCUGAGUAGCGGCGAGCGAAACGGAAAGAGCCCAAACCAAGAAGCUUGCUUCUUGGGGUUGUAGGACACUCUAUACGGAGUUACAAAAGAAAGUUAUAAAUGAAGCGGUCUGGAAAGGCCCGCCAAAGACGGUAACAGCCCGGUAGUUGAAAUGGCUUUCCCUCCAGAGUGGAUCCUGAGUACGGCGGAACACGUGAAAUUCCGUCGGAAUCCGGGAGGACCAUCUCCCAAGGCUAAAUACUCCCUAGUGACCGAUAGUGAACCAGUACCGUGAGGGAAAGGUGAAAAGCACCCCGGAAGGGGAGUGAAACAGUUCCUGAAACCGUGUGCCUACAAGUAGUUAGAGCCCGUUAAUGGGUGAUAGCGUGCCUUUUGUAGAAUGAACCGGCGAGUUACGAUUUGUUGCAAGGUUAAGCGGAAAAAGCGGAGCCGUAGCGAAAGCGAGUCUGAAUAGGGCGCAUAAGUAACAGGUCGUAGACCCGAAACCAGGUGAUCUACCCAUGUCCAGGAUGAAGGUAAGGUA